Molecule: ribosomal RNA, 506 nt
Filed under: uncultured bacterium
Lineage: Bacteria
Description: partial 16S ribosomal RNA
Rfam family: Bacterial small subunit ribosomal RNA
Source: RNAcentral
AGUGAACGCUGGCGGUAGGCCUAACACAUGCAAGUCGAACGGCAGCACAGGAGAGCUUGCUCUCUGGGUGGCGAGUGGCGGACGGGUGAGGAAUACAUCGGAAUCUACUUUUUCGUGGGGGAUAACGUAGGGAAACUUACGCUAAUACCGCAUACGACCUACGGGUGAAAGCAGGGGAUCUUCGGACCUUGCGCGAUUGAAUGAGCCGAUGUCGGAUUAGCUAGUUGGCGGGGUAAAGGCCCACCAAGGCGACGAUCCGUAGCUGGUCUGAGAGGAUGGUCAGACACACUGGAAAUGAGACACGGUCCAGACUCCUACGGGAGGCAGCAGUGGGGAAUAUUGGACAAUGGGCGCAAGCCUGAUCCAGCCAUACCGCGUGGGUGAAGAAGGCCUUCGGGUUGUAAAGCCCUUUUGUUGGGAAAGAAAUCCAGCUGGUUAAUACCCGGUUGGGAUGACGGUACCCAAAGAAUAAGCACCGGCUAACUUCGUGCCAGCCGCCGCCGUAA